RNAcentral lists this ribosomal RNA (386 nucleotides) under uncultured delta proteobacterium. RNAcentral's name for it is "bacterial SSU rRNA". It matches the Rfam family "Bacterial small subunit ribosomal RNA", at positions 161 to 523 of the family's 1533-position model. The record is from RNAcentral. Lineage: Bacteria; Deltaproteobacteria.
UGCUAAUACCGGAUGAGACUGUGGUUCGGGAGGACGAUAGUGGAAGGGAGCCUCUUCCAAUGAAAGCUUCCGCACGAGGACGGGCCUGCGUCCUAUCAGCUAGUUGGCAGGGUAAAAGCCUACCAAGGCGACGACGGGUAGCUGGUCUGAGAGGAUGAUCAGCCACACUGGCACUGGAAUACGGGCCAGACUCCUACGGGAGGCAGCAGUGAGGAAUUUUGCGCAAUGGGAGCAAUCCUGACGCAGCAACGCCGCGUGGGCGAUGAAGGCCUUCGGGUCGUAAAGCCCUGUCGGGCGGGAAGAAAGAUUGAUGGUCGAAUAGGCUGUCAAGUUGACGGUACCGCCAGAGGAAGCACCGGCUAACUCCGUGCCAGCAGCCGCGGUAA